AAACCCUCGGGAAGGACCCUGAUUGGUCUGAUAUGUCACAUGGCUAUCAGUGGCCCAAUCAGUGCCGCCACAGGGCUAGCGCUCUCCAAUUGGCCCCUUUUGGGUCAGCUGCCAGCCUCUUAGCCAAUCGCUGUGGUGAGGGAGGCGGAGUCAAUGGGGGUUCGGUACUUCCUGUCGGAAGCACAGGGCUGGUUCCGGCGCACCCUUGGGCUACGCAGAGGGCGUGGGAGUGAGCUGGGCUCCACCCUGGGCGGGCUGCCGCAGGGUCCUCGAGCUGGAAAAGGCUGCGUCCCUGACUUGCUUGCGGAAAGGGCACUGAGAACCGGAAAACCUGUGUGAUUUUAUACAAACGAAGGAGAAAGGGAGCCGCCCGAAAUGAGCCGCCUGUGCCUCUGACAGGCAGGCGCUUUGCCCGGUAGAGAGAGAGGACCAAGACGUUAAUCUGGGCUCUGUUUUCUUUCCAUUUUCACGACUUGGCUUUUUUCCGUUGACAAUUUUGGCGUAGUCGGCAGGAUCUCAGAGAAGACUCAGAGCCUCCUAAGGAGCAGCGCGGACUCGGCGCCAGAUACCGGCAUGGCCCUUUUAGGCCUCCGACUCAGAGCUUCUCCUUUGGUGGGAACUGGCACGGUCCCCCUUGACCCCCACGAGUAACAGAAGGUCCCGCGGGCCAGGACAAGUGGCGCCCAACGUGGGGCACGAGGCACGGACACUUGCCGGAUGACGCUGCGACCACUUCUUUAGCCGUGCACGCCAUAGAAGAGACCUUCCUUCUGCCGCUCACAGAAUCGACGGUCUGAAACACAAUGACUCCCCAAGAGAAGGCGCUGCCCCUCCUGUACCUGGUUCUGGUCACACUUAGAGGCAUCAACACAGCCAACAUCCAUCAGGUCUACAAUUAUACGUGGCAGGCUAGAACAAAGAGGCUCCAGAGAAGACCUCCAUGAAGAGUCUCCCAAUACACCCACGGAAGGUCUAAAUUUCUCAAA
Molecule: non-coding RNA, 986 nt
Organism: Microcebus murinus (gray mouse lemur)
Lineage: Eukaryota; Metazoa; Chordata; Mammalia; Primates; Cheirogaleidae
Source: RefSeq, a predicted model, not a curated record